This is a long non-coding RNA of Triticum dicoccoides, 902 nucleotides long. RefSeq lists it as uncharacterized. The transcript has 4 exons. The record is from RefSeq and is a predicted model, not a curated record. Lineage: Eukaryota; Viridiplantae; Streptophyta; Magnoliopsida; Poales; Poaceae.
AUGAUAACCAUCACAGAUUUGCUCAAUAUUUGUGAGUGAAAGCUGAACAGCUUGUACACUUACACCCUGUCUAUAAUGUCUAAACACUUGUGCUUGCUGUGCAAUUGAGAUGCCAGGCAGUGUGUCAUCUUCUAAACACUGGUGUUCUCUUUGCCAAUUAAGAUGCAGUGCAAUUCAAUCUGGUGGUAUGGUACCUGGUCUUGUGAAGCAUCUGAAACUGAAAAUCCAUCAGCGACCAUCAUCCGUGUGUGGCUGCAGAGGCAUUGUAUCAGGCAAAUAAGCCAAGAAAAGGAGCACUUCCAGGCAGGAAGAGAAGGAGAAGAAAGGGAUUCCUUUUUUUUAGAAAAGGGGGACAUCCCCAGCCUCUGCAUCGGAAAGAUGCAUACGGCCACCAAGAAAGGGAUUCCUGCUCUGCUGUAACCAUUGCCAGGCAAAUGCGGCACUGAGCAGGAGCAAAUCUCCUCGGAUAUCACAAGGUCUAACAUGCACAAUUCAAGCUCAGGUGGGUGAAGAUCAUUUGUGUGUGGCUGCAGAGGGUGCUAUACUAUCAGCCAAGAACAGGGAUUCCUGCUGUUAUGAAACCGUCGUUGUGGCGCCGAGCAGGAGCAUAUUUCCUUGGAUUUCACCAAGGUGACGGCCUCUUCUCUGAUACAUGAGCUUUGACUUUUCUGCUGUCUGCUGUGCGUAACGCUUUUUUGUGCUAGCAGUACGUAUAUGGUAUCCUUAAAAAAAAUUAGAGAUUCUGUGGACAAUCAUCUCUUUUUUAGUUCAGUCAUCUAUUGAGAGUUUUCAGAAACAACCGCCUGUUCAUAACUUUACUAACAGUGCAUGGAUUUCAGUCCUGGGUAUAGGUAUUGGUUAGUGUAAUCAACAGAAGUUGAAAAUAUUUAUUCUCAGUACUA